Molecule: small nucleolar RNA, 132 nt
Organism: Octodon degus (degu)
Lineage: Eukaryota; Metazoa; Chordata; Mammalia; Rodentia; Octodontidae
Source: Ensembl
GGGGUGUACUCAGAGUCAGUGGCCUAAAGAAUGGCUUCUCAGCCAUUUAUAACACACCCAAUAGAAAUCUAGGGUCCUUGUGACAAGGGGCACAAAACUUGUCACUUUCGUUUGAGCAAAUGCCUUAUACAG